RNAcentral lists this ribosomal RNA (493 nucleotides) under uncultured bacterium. RNAcentral describes it as "partial 16S ribosomal RNA". It matches the Rfam family "Bacterial small subunit ribosomal RNA", at positions 30 to 523 of the family's 1533-position model. The record is from RNAcentral.
AUUGAACGCUGGCGGCAUGCUUUACACAUGCAAGUCGAACGGUAACAGGUUAAGCUGACGAGUGGCGAACGGGUGAGUAAUGCAUCGGAACGUGCCCGGUCGUGGGGGAUAACGCAGCGAAAGCUGCGCCAAUACCGCAUACGAUCUAAGGAUGAAAGCGGGGGACCGUAAGGCCUCGCGCGAUCGGAGCGGCCGAUGUCAGAUUAGGUAGUUGGUGGGGUAAAGGCUCACCAAGCCAACGAUCUGUAGCUGGUCUGAGAGGACGACCAGCCACACUGGGAAUGAGACACGGCCCAGACUCCUACGGGAGUCAGCAGUGGGGAAUUUUGGACAAUGGGCGAAAGCCUGAUCCAGCAAUGCCGCGUGCAGGAAGAAGGCCUUCGGGUUGUAAACUGCUUUUGUACGGAGCGAAAAGGUCUCCUCUAAUACAGGGGGCUCAUGACGGUACCGUAAGAAUAAGCACCGGCUAACUACGUGCCAGCCGCCGCCGUAA